GAGUUUGAUCUUGGCUCAGAUUGAACGCUGGCGGCAUGCCUUACACAUGCAAGUCGAACGGCAGCAUGAUCUAGCUUGCUAGAUUGAUGGCGAGUGGCGAACGGGUGAGUAAUACAUCGGAACGUGCCCUGUAGUGGGGAUAACUAGUCGAAAGAUUAGCUAAUACCGCAUACGACCUGAGGGUGAAAGUGGGGGACCGCAAGGCCUCAUGCUAUAGGAGCGGCCGAUGUCUGAUUAGCUAGUUGGUGGGGUAAAGGCCCACCAAGGCGACGAUCAGUAGCUGGUCUGAGAGGACGAUCAGCCACACUGGGACUGAGACACGGCCCAGACUCCUACGGGAGGCAGCAGUGGGGAAUUUUGGACAAUGGGCGAAAGCCUGAUCCAGCAAUGCCGCGUGUGUGAAGAAGGCCUUGGGUUGUAAAGCACUUUUGUCCGGAAAGAAAUGGCUCUGGUUAAUACCUGGGGUCGAUGACGGUACCGGAAGAAUAAGGACCGGCUAACUACGUGCCG
This 510-nucleotide ribosomal RNA is filed under the name uncultured microorganism. RNAcentral's name for it is "bacterial SSU rRNA". It matches the Rfam family "Bacterial small subunit ribosomal RNA", at positions 9 to 510 of the family's 1533-position model. The record is from RNAcentral.